This 65-nucleotide transfer RNA is filed under the name Dipodomys ordii (Ord's kangaroo rat). It matches the Rfam family "tRNA". Rfam says of the family: Transfer RNA (tRNA) molecules are approximately 80 nucleotides in length. Their secondary structure includes four short double-helical elements and three loops (D, anti-codon, and T loops). Lineage: Eukaryota; Metazoa; Chordata; Mammalia; Rodentia; Heteromyidae. The record is from Rfam by way of RNAcentral.
GGUGGCUCAGUGAUAGAGCGCUUGCUUUGCAUGCAAGAGGCCCUGGGUUCAAUUCCUUAGCACCA